AGCCAGGAUGCUGUAGUGGUUAGAGUGUCAGACUAGGACCUGGAAGACUGGGGUUCAAAUCCCCAGUUGGCCA
This is a non-coding RNA of Podarcis lilfordi (Lilford's wall lizard), 73 nucleotides long. The record is from the annotation of a GenBank genome assembly. Lineage: Eukaryota; Metazoa; Chordata; Lepidosauria; Squamata; Lacertidae.